CCUACGGGAGGCAGCAGUAGGGAAUCUUCCACAAUGGGCGAAAGCCUGAUGGAGCAACGCCGCGUGGGUGAAGAAGGUCUUCGGAUCGUAAAACACUGUUGGUAGGGAAGAAAGCGCGUGAGAGUAACUGUUCACGUUUCGACGGUAUCUAACCAGAAAGCCACGGCUAACUCCGUGCCAGCAGCCGCGGUAAUACGUAGGUGGCAAGCGUUAUCCGGAUUUAUUGGGCGUAAAGGGAACGCAGGCGGUCUUUUAAGUCUGAUGUGAAAGCCCUCGGCUUAACCGGGGUAGUGCAUUGGAAACUGGGAGACUUGAGUGUAGAAGAGGGGAGUGGAACUCCAUGUGUAGCGGUGAAAUGCGUAGAGAUAUGGAAGAACACCAGUGGCGAAGGCGGCUCUCUGGUCAGUAACUGACGCUGAGGUUCGAAAGCGUGGGUAGCAAACAGGAUUAGAUACCCGAGUAGUC
This 465-nucleotide ribosomal RNA is filed under the name uncultured bacterium. Its description in RNAcentral is "partial 16S ribosomal RNA". It matches the Rfam family "Bacterial small subunit ribosomal RNA", at positions 338 to 795 of the family's 1533-position model. The record is from RNAcentral.